GACGAACGCUGGCGGCGUGCCUAAUACAUGCAAGUAGAACGCUGAAGGAGGAGCUUGCUUCUCUGGAUGAGUUGCGAACGGGUGAGUAACGCGUAGGUAACCUGCCUGGUAGCGGGGGAUAACUAUUGGAAACGAUAGCUAAUACCGCAUAAUAGCAGUUGUUGCAUGACAACUGUUUGAAAGGUGCAAUUGCACCACUACCAGAUGGACCUGCGUUGUAUUAGCUAGUUGGUGGGGUAACGGCUCACCAAGGCGACGAUACAUAGCCGACCUGAGAGGGUGAUCGGCCACACUGGGACUGAGACACGGCCCAGACUCCUACGGGAGGCAGCAGUAGGGAAUCUUCGGCAAUGGACGGAAGUAUGACCGAGCAACGACGCGUGAGUGAAGAAGGUUUUCGGAUCGUAAAGCUCUGUUGUAAGAGAAGAACGAGUGUGAGAGUGGAAAGUUCACAAUGUGACGGUAGCUUACCAGAAAGGGGAGGCUAACUACGAG
Molecule: ribosomal RNA, 495 nt
Filed under: uncultured bacterium
Lineage: Bacteria
Description: partial 16S ribosomal RNA
Rfam family: Bacterial small subunit ribosomal RNA
Source: RNAcentral